GGAAGGGUGGCUGAGUUUUGGAUUAAGGCACUCGAUUCGAAAUCGAGCGUAGGAAAAAACACCUACCGUGGGUUCGAAUCCCACCCCUUCCG
This 92-nucleotide transfer RNA is filed under the name Candidatus Xiphinematobacter sp. RNAcentral's name for it is "tRNA-Ser". It matches the Rfam family "tRNA". From Rfam's summary of the family: Transfer RNA (tRNA) molecules are approximately 80 nucleotides in length. Their secondary structure includes four short double-helical elements and three loops (D, anti-codon, and T loops). The record is from RNAcentral. Lineage: Bacteria; Pseudomonadati; Verrucomicrobiota; Spartobacteria.